ACCAUUUUUAUUUUGAGUUUCAUUGCUAUAAAAUAUAUGUGAAGACAUGGAUUAGGUUCUUGAAAUGCAUGUUUAUGAAUUGGGUUGGAUUUAUGAUGUUUUGGUUAAGUUUCUUAUUUAUUAGGAACUCUAAUGCAUGCUAUGAUUGUUGGAAAGCUUAGAUUGAAUUUUGUAUAUGUGAAUUCAAGUUUUAUCUUAGGUUUUUGAUGCUGAAAUAUGAGGUUAAAAGCAUGCUUUGAUGUUCAAGCUUUUGGGUAUGGAAUUUUGUUGUGUUUUUGCUCAAGCUUUGGAGCUUUAGUUGGAUGUUGUUGAUUAAUGUUGGAAUUGAUGUUAUUAGCUCUCUAUUGUGGUGAUUUUUUAUCUGUAAGAAGUUAAUUUUGGGUAUGUUUUGGUUGAGGCUCGAAUUAUGGACAAGAUGGCAUGUUUAGACCUUAAAAAUGGAGUUUUUUUGGUGUUCUGAACCCAAUCGUCGCGAUGGGAUUUUUGGCCGUCGCGACUGGGUUUGGCAGUGAGAAAUUUUGUUUUUCUCAAUUUUGUUUUGGCCAUAACUUUUGACUCGGGACUCAGUUUGGGACGUUCUAUAUAUCGUUGGAAAGCUCGUUCCGAGCUCUAUUUGAUUAUCUGUGUUUUGAAUGCCAUGUUUAUAUUUUGUGAAAGUGAAAUUGCAGAUUAACCCUAUUUUUGAAAUCCCAGAUUGUGUGACUAGGAUUACCGGCACCUAAUCAGGAGCACCCAGGGGUUUGAAUCUCUGCCAUUGCGGGACAACAGGAAAGGGUAAGACUGUCGUUGAUCAGCCAUGAGUGCAGGAGCUGGACGAAGAAUGUACAUGUCCGGGCCAUAUCAGACCAAGCGGGUUAAGGGUCUACCAGUGUUGAAUUUUUGAAACUCUUUUUUGCCGCUUAGGCCGACUAACUGAAAGAGACUUGUAAUAAAGUUUGUAAAUAUUUUCGGGAUCCCAACUGUUGUAAAGUUUAAAUUAUUAAAAGUUUUAUUUUCACUCCA
Long non-coding RNA from Cannabis sativa, 1002 nucleotides. RefSeq lists it as uncharacterized. The transcript has 2 exons. The record is from RefSeq and is a predicted model, not a curated record. NCBI's taxonomy places the organism in Eukaryota, Viridiplantae, Streptophyta, Magnoliopsida, Rosales, Cannabaceae.